Molecule: ribosomal RNA, 253 nt
Filed under: uncultured bacterium
Lineage: Bacteria
Description: partial 16S ribosomal RNA
Rfam family: Bacterial small subunit ribosomal RNA
Source: RNAcentral
UACGUAGGGUGCGAGCGUUAAUCGGAAUUAUUGGGCGUAAAGCGUGCGCAGGCGGUUUUGCAAGCCGGGUGUGAAAUCCCCGGGCUCAACCUGGGAAUGGCAUUUGGGACUGCAAGGCUCGAGUGCGGCAGAGGAGACUGGAAUUCCUGGUGUAGCAGUGAAAUGCGUAGAUAUCAGGAGGAAUACCGAUGGCGAAGGCAGGUCUCUGGGCUGACACUGACGCUCAUGCACGAAAGCGUGGGGAGCAAACAGG